CCUACGGGAUGCAGCAGUGGGGAAUAUUGCACAAUGGGCGCAAGCCUGAUGCAGCCAUGCCGCGUGUAUGAAGAAGGCCUUCGGGUUGUAAAGUACUUUCAGCGGGGAGGAAGGUGUUGUGGUUAAUAACCACAGCAAUUGACGUUACCCGCAGAAGAAGCACCGGCUAACUCCGUGCCAGCAGCCGCGGUAUUACGGAGGGUGCAAGCGUUAAUCGGAAUUACUGGGCGUAAAGCGCACGCAGGCGGUCUGCCAAGUCGGAUGUGAAAUCCCCGGGCUCAACCUGGGAACUGCAUUCGAAACUGGCAGGCUGGAGUCUUGUAGAGGGGGGUAGAAUACCAGGUGUAGCGGUGAAAUGCGUAGAGAUCUGGAGGAAUACCGGUGGCGAAGGCGGCCCCCUGGACAAAGUCUGACGCUCAGGUGCGAAAGCGUGGGGAGCAAACAGGAUUAGAUACCCCCGUAGUC
This 465-nucleotide ribosomal RNA is filed under the name uncultured bacterium. RNAcentral's name for it is "bacterial SSU rRNA". It matches the Rfam family "Bacterial small subunit ribosomal RNA", at positions 338 to 795 of the family's 1533-position model. The record is from RNAcentral.